AUCAUUUAUAUGAAUUACAUGUUUCUAUUAUUUGUAUUAUAUACUAUUAUAUUGUGUUAGAUAUAUAUUGAGAUUAUCGAAUGCGCUUUAAAAGAUAUAACAUCUAAAACCAUCUUCACUGUGUUUGUUAUAACUGUUUUCAGGCCCUUACCCAUACUCAUAAGUCCGUAAGGUGUGCUGUUGGUUAAGUCCAACCAUAACAGGCAAACGUCAGUCCACACGACCCAGCAUCCGACAAACCCGA
RNAcentral lists this long non-coding RNA (244 nucleotides) under Mytilus galloprovincialis (Mediterranean mussel). Lineage: Eukaryota; Metazoa; Mollusca; Bivalvia; Mytilida; Mytilidae. The record is from RNAcentral.